GGCGGACGGGUGAGUAAUGCCUAGGAAAUUGCCCUGAUGUGGGGGAUAACCAUUGGAAACGAUGGCUAAUACCGCAUAAUGCCUACGGGCCAAAGAGGGGGACCUUCGGGCCUCUCGCGUCAGGAUAUGCCUAGGUGGGAUUAGCUAGUUGGUGAGGUAAUGGCUCACCAAGGCGACGAUCCCUAGCUGGUCUGAGAGGAUGAUCAGCCACACUGGAACUGAGACACGGUCCAGACUCCUACGGGAGGCAGCAGUGGGGAAUAUUGCACAAUGGGCGCAAGCCUGAUGCAGCCAUGCCGCGUGUGUGAAGAAGGCCUUCGGGUUGUAAAGCACUUUCAGUCGUGAGGAAGGUAGUGUAGUUAAUAGCUGCAUUAUUUGACGUUAGCGACAGAAGAAGCACCGGCUAACUCCGUGCCAGCAGCCGCGGUAAUACGGAGGGUGCGAGCGUUAAUCGGAAUUACUGGGCGUAAAGCGCAUGCAGGUGGUUUGUUAAGUCAGAUGUGAAAGCCCGGGGCUCAACCUCGGAAUUGCAUUUGAAACUGGCAGACUAGAGUACUGUAGAGGGGGGUAGAAUUUCAGGUGUAGCGGUGAAAUGCGUAGAGAUCUGAAGGAAUACCGGUGGCGAAG
Molecule: ribosomal RNA, 627 nt
Filed under: Vibrio sp. M185
Lineage: Bacteria; Pseudomonadati; Pseudomonadota; Gammaproteobacteria; Vibrionales; Vibrionaceae
Description: bacterial SSU rRNA
Rfam family: Bacterial small subunit ribosomal RNA
Source: RNAcentral